ACCUUGGCUCUAGACUGAUUACUGUGUGUGUGUGUCUGAGUAACAGUCUACAGUCAUGGCUA
RNAcentral lists this microRNA precursor (62 nucleotides) under Callorhinchus milii (elephant shark). RNAcentral describes it as "Cmi-Mir-132-P2_pre stem-loop". It matches the Rfam family "mir-132 microRNA precursor family", at positions 11 to 84 of the family's 84-position model. The record is from RNAcentral. Lineage: Eukaryota; Metazoa; Chordata; Chondrichthyes; Chimaeriformes; Callorhinchidae.